This 260-nucleotide ribosomal RNA is filed under the name uncultured bacterium. RNAcentral's name for it is "partial 16S ribosomal RNA". It matches the Rfam family "Bacterial small subunit ribosomal RNA", at positions 94 to 354 of the family's 1533-position model. The record is from RNAcentral.
AGCGGCGGACGGGUGAGUAACGCGUGGGUAACCUGCCUUACACAGAGGGAUAACAGUUAGAAAUGACUGCUAAUACCGCAUAAGACCCCGGUACCGCAUGGUACAGAGGUAAAAACUGAGGUGGUGUAAGAUGGACCCGCGUCUGAUUAGGUAGUUGGUGAGGUAACGGCUCACCAAGCCGACGAUCAGUAGCCGGCCUGAGAGGGUGGACGGCCACAUUGGGACUGAGACACGGCCCAGACUCCUACGGAAGGCAGCAG